This is a long non-coding RNA of Prionailurus viverrinus (fishing cat), 253 nucleotides long. RefSeq lists it as uncharacterized. The transcript is spliced from 3 exons. The record is from RefSeq and is a predicted model, not a curated record. Lineage: Eukaryota; Metazoa; Chordata; Mammalia; Carnivora; Felidae.
CUGACUUUCACUUACAGUUCGACUACAUCCUGUGGUUAGCGCUUGUAAAGCAAUCUGAGAAGUAUCAACAUCUUCCUUGCUGCACGACAAGUCUCAAAUUUGGACAAGUAACAGCAACACAGCGUUAAUGACUAACACAUGACUAAACCAAGUGGGCCUCUGCAGUCCUAGCCAACCUCCUCUGCUUCUGACUGAAUGGCUGAAAAGAACUGCCUCUUCUUGCAACUGGUUAGGUAAAUGGAAUCAAGACACA